Molecule: long non-coding RNA, 3960 nt
Organism: Ailuropoda melanoleuca (giant panda)
Lineage: Eukaryota; Metazoa; Chordata; Mammalia; Carnivora; Ursidae
Exons: 3
Source: RefSeq, a predicted model, not a curated record
GAGAGACAAGGAAAUGCUGUCACCGCCGUUAACGCGCACGUGGAGGUUUGUUAAAGGUAUAGGGACUGCAGCCGCCCAGGCGGGGGGCGGGGAAUGAGUCGCUGGGGGCUUGAGGGGAGCGGUCAGUGUUAAGUGGCUGGCCCCUAGCAGGUGCCUGGAGGCGAGCCUAGUGCAGGAAGUAUCCCCUGGGGGGGAAGCCGGUGGGCUGGGAAAGGACAAAUGGAAACGGAAUUAGGGGCCAGACUCUGAGGCAAGGUGAUGGGGAGACACAGAAGGAGGGGCAGUCCGGUUGGGGGAAGAAAUUGGGGCUGGAGAGCGGGAGAGGUUGAAGUGAGUUGUGGAUCACACAGGAUAGGUGCUGUGUAUUGUGCGUGAGUGUAUGGGCGGGGGUUCUCUGGAGUGGGGAGGCAGGAGAUGCAGCAGGGUCAGGAAGAGACUGUGGGGUGGGAGAGAAGACUGCUGAAUGGAAAGGGGGAAAGGGAAAUUUGGGAUCAAGCCAUCCCAGACCAGAGCCCUCUUCCUUGUGCAGCUCUGAGCUCCCUCUUUCUGCCUCAUUUAUUUAACUCUGGGUCAGAGCAUGCUGCGCCCUUUGCUUAUAGUUUCUCCUUCCGUGGUGCAGCGGAGUUCACACCAGCCAGUGUAAUGGUAGGUGGAAAGGUUGCCACUGCCCCACCUCUCCCUGGCCUCCCUCAUCUUAGCCGGGUUUCUCCCUUCUUCACGUUUUGCCCUUCCUAGGUAGUAGGAGUCUAGUUCCUGUGUAAUGCCAGCCAUAGCAGAGGGGAACUCAGCUAUGAGGGGGACUCAGGGAGGGGAAGCCGGGGGAACAGGUGGCUGUGCAGAGCCACGUCCAGACUGUGGACAAAGGGCUGAGACAUGGAACACCUACCAGUGCCCAUCCUGGCUUUGGCCUGGCUGGGGAAGCCUUGGGUCAAGUUCUCUCUGUAGUCCUGGUUUCCACCACCAACAGGAAGGGGAGCUCCAAGAGCCACUAGGCAGGCACCCCAGGACUGUGCCAGGAAGACCUGGGUUUAAGCCUUGCAUCCAUCAAUCUCAAGAUAUGGGACCUCAGGGACGGGAGGGGACGAACCGCCAAGGAUGUGUGCCCCUGAGCGGCCAUCAUCUCAGUUCCUCAUCUGUAAGCCAGAUGCCAAGCCAGCCUGGGAGAGAAGCGUCUCUCAGCCGGGAUCCCUGACAAAGACACACCUGCCCCAUGAGGAAGUCAGAAGUGCUUUACGCUCAGCCUUCACUGCAAAAGCGCCACGGCCCAGGUAACGAUCUGCAGCAUAUGGGUCACCGCUUUAAGUGAAUUUACGUAGGAUAACAGGUAUGGCCCCAAAGGCUUCACCAAGACUAGAACUAAUGACUGAAUAUAAUGAGAAGAAUGAAAAUAGAGUAAAUUCUGUUUUUGUUGAACGUGUACGUAUUUCUGUAUGUGAAUACAGCAGGAAAAGUCUUUGAAAAUGAUGAAAUGUUAAAACUCAUGAUCUCUUGGUGGUAGAAUUUUGCUUGACUUAAAGAAUUUUUCUCCUGGUUUUUGUGGAUUUUUUUUCAUUUUUCCUCAGUCAGUAUACUCUAUUCUGCUUUUUUUUUUAUAUAUAUAUAAAGAAAAAUAAAGAAUGUUGAGGAAGUAAUGAAGGGAAUCUCUACUCUGAACUUAAAUCUGAUAUAAGAGAAAUAGAAGUAAAGUGGAAAUCAUAAGAACUGGGGGGGGAGAAUCUAUGCCAUCUUGUAGUUCAGAAAUCACUAAGGAAAAGGACCCCAGGCAGUGAGACUUGCAUCCUGAGCUUCUGAAAACUGGCUUUCGGGAAAUACAGAAACAAGGUUAUUAUUUCGGAGAAAUAAACCGUGUGAGAAGUCAAAGGGCAGCUCUGGACAAAAUUGUACGGGGAGAUCCUGAAAUACUGCAGACACUGAUCCUUGGCAAAAUCCAUGAACACAUGACCAAACAGCACAGUACAAUUACUGAAGGAAACAAUGAUUGUAAGGAGUAAGCACAGGGUUGCAAAAACAGAGCCAUGCUGUCUCAUGGGGUUUUGCAUGGAUACAUCAAGAGAAGGGUAUAUACUGUGCUUUUUAUUUCAACAAGGUAUCUGACAUCUUCAUAAUAUUCUUAUGAACAAGAAGGGAAGAUACUGCAGGCAGGACAGCCUAGUUUGGGGACUAAGCCAGAUGUGCCUCCCCCUUAAGUGCUGAGAUCCUCCCAUCCUGAGGGGUUUGCUGCUGCAAGGGCAACCAGGGUGUCUCAAACUAUGGGUGGGUCCCAGGACGAGGGUCUGCAGCGUCCCCUUGGAGGCACAUGCUUUUUCUGCCAGAAUGUUUUCUUCUUGUGUUAUCACUGUGACAGUCAUCUUUUAAAAAUGAGCAUCCACUGGGUGACUGCUGCUUUACCAAGCUGCCUGCUUCAGGGCUGGUGUGUAUGUGUGUGUGCGUUUCUAACUGUACUGGUGCCAGGUGGCACCACUCUGACUGCGUGGGCUAAUUAAGACAACUUAAUUCUGCACAUUUAAUUCAUGCUACAUUUGUGCAAAGUGAGGUAUGACGGCUCCUCAGAAGCGUGGGAGGAGUGUGUUGCUUGGCACGAGACACUGCAGGGUAGGCGUGUGAAACUCAAGGAGCCCAAAGUGUCAAGUUGGCCGUGCUUAUGCUGACAGCAGUGAUCUGGGUUCAAUCAAAUGUCAUCCUCCCAGAAUGAGGCUCUUGAUGUGACUUUUACUGGCUUUUUGGUAAUUAUUUAAUUAAUUUUACAGGAGCCAGAUCAAUGAGCUAUAAACAGAUUUCUGUGCCUAAUUAAGUAAAGUUGCAGCAUUAUAAUGAAAACACUCUAAGUUGACUCAAAAACAUUUUUCCUUUAGAGCAGUGGUGUUCAAACUAUUUAGACCAUGAACCACAGUUAAAAACAGUUUACGUCAAGACCCAGUAUGUGCGUACCCACACGCUUCCCUGUCCUGUGCUCAUCCAGUGCGUUUCCUGAAACAGAGUCUGCCCUUCCUAUGUGUGAUGGACUUGGGUAUUCUACUCUAUUUCAUCUUUUUACAUGCUGGCUGUGACUCAGUAAAUUGGUUCUGUGCCCCAGAGAAUGGAAAAGGCGGCUUUAGAGUGGUUGAUCCACCACCCAAGUUUGGAAAACCAUGCAAAGGCCAAGCAGACAAGUUCAACUUGCAGAUGUCCCAAACCGAGGAUUAUAAAUACACUGGGUGUUGGUAUUAGGGUUCAAAGAGAUCUCUAAAAACUAGUAUGUGCAGUGCUUUAGAGCACGAGGCUCCAGACCUAAAUGAGAGUUGGGGUUGCGCCGUCAUCAGUGGGGUGGCUGGGGCAUCCCUCUCAGGCUCACUGUGCCACCUACAGGACAGAGAACAGCACCCUCCUGGGAUCCUGGGAGGCGUCAGUAAUUACUGUGGAGAGCAGCAAGCACACAGUGGGUAAUCAAUAAACAGUGGUUUAAACUUUGACGUUGAGUACAUCCUGCACUUGGGUUAAAAAAAAAAUGCACAUGCAUAUAGGAUGGAACAACAGAGCUUAAUAGUGGUUCUUCUGUGAAAAAGCCCCAGUGGGUUUGACUCAAAGCUAAACAGGAGGCAAUAGAAUCUAGAUAUGGUGGCCAAAACUCUAUUGCAAUCUUGGCUGCAUUUCCAGAAGUUCAAUCAUAGAGGAAUAAAAGUCGUCCUGGUGUGUUCGGCACAUUUGGGCCGUAUCUGGAGUGUCAGGUUUCGUUCUGAGGGAUAUUUUGAAAGGGGCAUUUUCCAUUGGAGCUUGCUCAGAGCACAGCAGCAAUGGUGUGGCCACUGAUAUCCAUCAAUGCUUUUAUCCCAUACGUGGUUCAAAGACUUCAGGCUGGAAACAUCAAGAAGGCAGAUUUUAAGGUGCCUGGCUGGCUCAGUAGCUAGAGCGUGUGACUUCUGAUCUCAGGGCUGUGAGUUUGAGCCCCAUGUUAGAUGUAGAGUUUACUUUAAAAGGGCAGAU